GUUCACCCAUGUUGUAGUAUGAGUUAGACUCUCCUUUCUUUCUAAGGCUGAAUAAUAUUCCACUGUAUGUGUAGACCACAUUUUAUUUAUCCAUUCAUCCAUCAAUGGACACGGGGGUUGAUUCCACUCUGUUGUAAACAAUGCUUCUAUGAACAUGGGUGUACAAAUAUGUGUUCAAGUCCUAGCUUUUAAUUCCUCUGGGCCUAUAGCCCAGAAAUGGAAUUGCUGGAUCAUAUGAAAAUACUGUUUAACUUUUUAAGAAACCAUCCCACUGUUUUCCAGAGCAGCUGCACCAUUCUACAUCCCCACCAACAGUGCACCAAGGUUCCACAGAGUCUACAUCUGUAUCAGUAGUGCUUUCCAUUUUUUUGAAAAUAUUUAAUGAUGGAACUGUGCUAAUGCUAAGAAUAGAACUUAUUCUAGGAGCCUGUGUGGAUAAGAAGAGAAUUGUUGCGUUCAUGAAACAUUAAAGCCAGAAGAUCUAGCCUAAAAUAGUCCUUCGUGUGUUCUGGGCAGCAUGUCGCUUUUAUAGACUUCUACUCUCUCAAAUCCAUCUCAGCACCAGGUUGGAAACGUCUGUUCAGGAGUCACUGGCCACGCCUGCUUUCCCAAUGAGGGGAGAGGGACAGAGGCUGGCACAUUCUGACUUGUGGGUAGCCAGUGUCCUCACCACCCCCCAACCCCACAUCCACCCCUUUUGGCUUUUUCAACAAGAAUGAAGUUGCCUUUUUAUCUACUUCAGGAGGCUCUUACAAUCCGGUGAAACUACACCACCACGCACUCAGCGUAUUCCAAUAGACGCCUCUUUAGCAGCGGUUGCCUUUUCCCAUGAGCUCCCCUGUCCCCGAUCCCCUGUUUAUGACAUCUCUCCUCUUGAGCCCUGAGGAGAGAUGGAGGGUGUGUGAGACACCAGGUCUGCAACAGGCUGCCAUCAUGUCAAGGCUUUAUUUCUACUUCAUCAUUGUCUUGUACAGACUCCGAGCCACCGUCCUUUGUUCCAAUCCAGUAUCCUCAUGUGUAAUAUUUUUCCCGUAAACAGAAAAUUUUGAGUAAACACUGCGUAUUGUCAGUUCAUCUUUUAACAAUAAUUUAAAAAAGCCACAGAUGUUGUAUCAUCGAUGCAAGAAGACGACAAAAGUACAGUACGAGGGAACUCACAAUGUGCACAACGGGACGACUCACUCGGGCGAUGGCGAGCCCACAGCAGCAGUAUGUACAUGCACCCCGGCGCCUCGGACCCGAAGACGUGCAAGUCGAUAGAAUAUGUGGAUUAUACAAAGAAUUUGGUGAGCCCCGCUGAGGACUCGGUGCCCUUUUCCUAAACGCUGACAUGGGUUCCCUCCAGCAUAUAGGGCAUCUGUCUUGACUAUUGGCUUCCUGACUUUUUCACUACAAAAAGUUCAUUUUAUCAGACGGUCUGAAGUUUUCAAAA
Long non-coding RNA from Myotis brandtii (Brandt's bat), 1432 nucleotides. RefSeq lists it as uncharacterized. The record is from RefSeq and is a predicted model, not a curated record. The transcript has 2 exons. Lineage: Eukaryota; Metazoa; Chordata; Mammalia; Chiroptera; Vespertilionidae.